AAGUCGUAACAAGGUUUCCGUAGGUGAACCUGCGGAAGGAUCAUUAAAGAGUUAGGGUCCUAGUGGCCCAACCUCCAACCCUCUGUUGUUAAAACUACCUUGUUGCUUUGGCGGGACCGUUCGGUCUCCGAGCGCGUUAACCCUCGGGUUGGCGAGCGCCCGCCAGAGUCCAACCAAACUCUUGUAUUAAACCAGUCGUCUGAGUAUAAAAUUUUAAUUAAAUUAAAACUUUCAACAACGGAUCUCUUGGUUCUC
Molecule: unclassified non-coding RNA, 255 nt
Filed under: air metagenome
Description: partial contains small subunit ribosomal RNA, internal transcribed spacer 1, and 5.8S ribosomal RNA
Rfam family: Eukaryotic small subunit ribosomal RNA (bases 1-46)
Source: RNAcentral